UGGGGAAUAUUGCACAAUGGGCGCAAGCCUGAUGCAGCCAUGCCGCGUGUGUGAAGAAGGCCUUCGGGUUGUAAAGCACUUUCAGCGAGGAGGAAGGGGGGUGUGUUAAUAGCACAUUGCAUUGACGUUACUCGCAGAAGAAGCACCGGCUAACUCCGUGCCAGCAGCCGCGGUAAUACGGAGGGUGCAAGCGUUAAUCGGAAUUACUGGGCGUAAAGCGCACGCAGGCGGUUUGUUAAGUCAGAUGUGAAAUCCCCGCGCUUAACGUGGGAACUGCAUUUGAAACUGGCAAGCUAGAGUCUUGUAGAGGGGGGUAGAAUUCCAGGUGUAGCGGUGAAAUGCGUAGAGAUCUGGAGGAAUACCGGUGGCGAAGGCGGCCCCCUGGACAAAGACUGACGCUCAGGUGCGAAAGCGUGGGGAGCAAACA
This 427-nucleotide ribosomal RNA is filed under the name uncultured bacterium. Its description in RNAcentral is "partial 16S ribosomal RNA". It matches the Rfam family "Bacterial small subunit ribosomal RNA", at positions 355 to 774 of the family's 1533-position model. The record is from RNAcentral.